AAUGAAGUGCCUGAUUGAAAGGGUUAUCUUGAUAGGAUAAAUAAUGUAAUUUGUUACCUUCAUUA
This 65-nucleotide transfer RNA is filed under the name Sinopyrophorus schimmeli. RNAcentral describes it as "Elateridae sp. JWH-2018 tRNA-Ile". Lineage: Eukaryota; Metazoa; Arthropoda; Insecta; Coleoptera; Elateridae. The record is from RNAcentral.